Molecule: non-coding RNA, 68 nt
Organism: Rhizobiales bacterium 63-22
Lineage: Bacteria; Pseudomonadati; Pseudomonadota; Alphaproteobacteria; Hyphomicrobiales
Source: Rfam
UGUCAAGAGUCUUAAGCGUCGUUUUGGUGGGUGGGUUUCUUUUGCCUUUUGAAAGGUGAAAGGAAAUG